CCUACGGGAGGCAGCAGUGAGGAAUAUUGGUCAAUGGACGAGAGUCUGAACCCGCCAAGUAGCGUGAAGGAUGACUGCCCUAUGGGUUGUAAACUUCUUUUAUAUGGGAAUAAAAUGUUCCACGCUUGGGCUUUUGUAUGUACCAUAUGAAUCAUGCUCGGCUAACUCCGUGCCAGCAGCCGCGGUAAUACGGAGGAUCCGAGCGGUAUCCGGAUUUAUUGGGUUUAAAGGGUGCGUAGGUGGAUGGUUAAGUCAGUUGUGAACGUUUGCGGCUCAACCGUACAAUUGCAGUUGACACUGGCAGUCUUGAGUACGGUAGAGGUGGGCGGAAUGCGUGGUGUAGCGGUGAAAUGCUUAGAUAUCACGAAGAACUCCGAUUGCGAAGGCAGUGCACUGGACUGCAACUGACACUGAUGCUCGAAAGUGUGGGUAUCAAACAGGAUUAGAUACCCUGGUAGUC
RNAcentral lists this ribosomal RNA (460 nucleotides) under uncultured bacterium. RNAcentral describes it as "partial 16S ribosomal RNA". It matches the Rfam family "Bacterial small subunit ribosomal RNA", at positions 338 to 795 of the family's 1533-position model. The record is from RNAcentral.